RNAcentral lists this long non-coding RNA (1018 nucleotides) under Gallus gallus (chicken). RNAcentral describes it as "long non-coding RNA NONGGAT006592". Lineage: Eukaryota; Metazoa; Chordata; Aves; Galliformes; Phasianidae. The record is from RNAcentral.
GGGUGAUCUCUAAGAUCUCCUCCAGUCUGACCCAUUCUAUAAUUCUAUGAUCCUUUGGAAGGUAAGGUCGCCCAAAAGAACCAGUCAACACUUAAACACUUUUUCUGAGCUCAAGAUUGGUACACCCCUAAGAGUAAUACAUCAGGGAAUGGUGGAAGGAGAUCUGCAUGGAUGAGCAAGGAGCUCAAGGGGAAGAAAAAAGUCCAUGAGAUGUGGAAAAAGGGUCUGCCUACUUUGGAUGAACAUAGGAACGUCGUCAGGGCCUGCAGAGAUGCAACAAGGAAGGGUAAGGCCUACUUGGAAUUAGGUCUGGCAAAGGAUGUCAGGAUAACAAGAAAGGCUUUAUUAAGUUUGUCAGUGGUAAAAGGAGGACUGGGGAAAAUGUGGGCCCACUACUGAAUGGGGGUCUCCAGAGGCCCUUUCCAACCCCUAUGAUUCUGUGAUUCUGUGUAUAACAGCUCCAAAAAGCAGCCUUCCUGUUUCUGAAAUGAGACAAACAUCGAUGUAGGCCACGUAACAUACCAAGAACAACAGGAUGUUUUUCUGAAAGACAAAACCACGUCCCCAAUCAGCACAUCUCUGCUUAACCAGUGGUGUGAAACCAAGCGGCUUCCUUCAGAUGAGCACAAAUCAGAAAGCAGAAGGUGAAUGAGAGCUGCUGCUGAGGUCUCUGGGAGCUGUGUUGCAGAAGAGUGCGGUGUUGGUGUGGGUUUGGCUCAGCUCAGAGGAUGCUCCCCCCCAGGAGCAGUUGAACAAAUUGAACUCAGCACUGUGCUUUCUGCCCUGACUUCCCUGAGCUUUCUUCAGACAUGUCCUUUUUCAGCUGCCUCCAUCAGCAUCCUCAGCUAUCCACAGAAGAAACACCCCAGUCAGUCACUGACACGGCUCGGUGUAAUUCCCCACCUGAUGACUGAUAGUCUCCCGCUAACCUAAAAACACCACAUCCUCACCUCUGGCUUCAACAGAGUUUGGGGUGUGAAAAGUAGACAGCACAGUUCCAAAAUGGCAGCCAAUUGCA